This is a long non-coding RNA of Oncorhynchus masou masou (cherry salmon), 120 nucleotides long. RefSeq lists it as uncharacterized. The record is from RefSeq and is a predicted model, not a curated record. The transcript has 3 exons. Lineage: Eukaryota; Metazoa; Chordata; Actinopteri; Salmoniformes; Salmonidae.
GACAGGUUGUGUAGUCUAGGACAGGUUGUGUAGUCUAGGACAGGUCAAUUACAGACAGGUUGUGUAGUCUAGGACAGGUCAGUUACAGACAGACAGGUUGUCUAGGACAGGUCAGUUACA